UACGGAGGGGGCGAGCGUUAUUCGGAAUUAUUGGGCGUAAAGGGCGCGUAGGCGGCUGUACAAGUCAAAGGUGAAAUCCCUCGGCCCAACUGAGGAACUGCCUUUGAAACUGUACGGCUUGAGGCCGGGAGGGGGUAGCGGAAUUCCCAGUGUAGCGGUGAAAUGCGUAGAUACUGGGAGGAACACCAGUGGCGAAGGCGGCUACCUGGACCGGUUCUGACGCUGAGGCGCGAAAGCGUGGGUAGCAAACAGG
Molecule: ribosomal RNA, 253 nt
Filed under: uncultured bacterium
Lineage: Bacteria
Description: partial 16S ribosomal RNA
Rfam family: Bacterial small subunit ribosomal RNA
Source: RNAcentral